RNAcentral lists this ribosomal RNA (382 nucleotides) under uncultured marine Chaetocerotaceae. Its description in RNAcentral is "SSU rRNA". It matches the Rfam family "Eukaryotic small subunit ribosomal RNA", at positions 587 to 972 of the family's 1831-position model. Lineage: Eukaryota; Bacillariophyta; Thalassiosirophyceae; Chaetocerotales; Chaetocerotaceae. The record is from RNAcentral.
AGCUUCAGUAGCGUAUAUUAAAGUUGUUGCAGUUAAAAAGCUCGUAGUCGCAUUUCUGGCGAGAGGAUCCGGUCCGACCUUUUGGUGGGUUCUUGGGUCUCUUUCGCCAUCCUUGAGUGGUCCGUUCUGGCAUUAGGUUGUCGGAGCGUCAGCCGCUCAUCGUUUACUGUGAGAAAAUUAGAGUGUUCAAAGCAGGCUUAUGCCGUUGAAUAUAUUAGCAUGGAAUAAUAAGAUAGGACCGCGGUACUAUUUUGUUGGUUUGCGCACCGAGGUAAUGAUGAACAGGGACAGUUGGGGGUAUUUGUAUUUCGUUGUCAGAGGUGAAAUUCUUAGAUUUACGAAAGACAAACUACUGCGAAAGCAUUUACCAAGGAUGUUUUCA